Molecule: transfer RNA, 74 nt
Filed under: Prevotella sp.
Lineage: Bacteria; Pseudomonadati; Bacteroidota; Bacteroidia; Bacteroidales; Prevotellaceae
Description: tRNA-Ile
Rfam family: tRNA
About the family: Transfer RNA (tRNA) molecules are approximately 80 nucleotides in length. Their secondary structure includes four short double-helical elements and three loops (D, anti-codon, and T loops). Further hydrogen bonds mediate the characteristic L-shaped molecular structure. tRNAs have two regions of fundamental functional importance: the anti-codon, which is responsible for specific mRNA codon recognition, and the 3' end, to which the tRNAs corresponding amino acid is attached (by aminoacyl-tRNA synthetases). tRNAs cope with the degeneracy of the genetic code in two manners: having more than one tRNA (with a specific anti-codon) for a particular amino acid; and 'wobble' base-pairing, i.e. permitting non-standard base-pairing at the 3rd anti-codon position.
Source: RNAcentral
CCGCAGCUAUAGCAAUUGGUUAGAUAGCCACUCUGAUAAGGUGGAGGUUCCUGGUUCGAGUCCAGGGUUGCGGA